Molecule: long non-coding RNA, 1349 nt
Filed under: Neodiprion pinetum (white pine sawfly)
Lineage: Eukaryota; Metazoa; Arthropoda; Insecta; Hymenoptera; Diprionidae
Description: uncharacterized LOC124217693
Source: RNAcentral
CCCUGCAUGUGGUCCCCCGUAUCCCAGUGGGACACCAAAUCUCUGACUUGUACCAAUGCAUAUGUCAAUUGAAAAGUCGCUGGGUGGUCUGAUCAAUGUUAAGGAAAGCAAAUCGCUCGCUGCACACACCAAGAUCUGAAACGUAUUUCAUAUUUGGGCAAUCAACCACAUUGUUCUAUGCAAGAAAUAUCGCUUACUCCAUUAGCAUGGGCCUGUUCAACAACAUUUGAGAAGUCGCGAAUCUGCCCUGUUGUAUCUGGAUACUGUAAAAGAAUUCCAGCAAUAUCUUUUUUUGCCAAGUCAACUUUAAAUACAUCUCCAACUUCGAUGUAUGCCUGUAAGUAAGCGACAUCGCUUCCGCAGCAGCAGUGCUCUCAUCCAGAAGAGAAGCAUUCGCUACUUCCAUCCCUGUUAGCUCACAAAUCAUAGUUUGGUAAUUUAAAAGCCCCUCCAAUCGCCCCUGAGAAAUUUCUGGUUGGUAGGGCGUAUACUGUGUCGUCCUAGGAAUGUAAUUGUCAAAUAUGAAUACGUUUUAGUUAACUUCGAUAGGAUUCUUAACGUUAUUCAGUUAAGAUUCUUAUUAAUAGUUUAUUGAUGGAUUGUAGUACACACAAACAAUUGUUGCCGAAAUUGGUGCUCUGACACAUAAUAAUAACCAUGUACUAAAUGAUAAGUUUGCUUACCAUCCUGGAUUCUCGAAUAUGUUUCUCAAUAUUGUAUGUGGGACGCUACAGUUAUGGUACCCCAUACCGAUAUAGCUACGCCAAACUUGAUUCUUUUCCGAGACCUCUCGAAUUCUUUUAAUUAAUUCAUACUCAUCUGGAAAUGGAAAAUUUGAUCGUGGAUACGGAAUUAAUAAGUAUUCAAGUAAUCAAAAUUUCUUUCUUUCUUCGUGAUUAUUGCCAAAAGAAAUUGUGAGAGAAUUAGGUUUGAUAUUCGGAAUGAAUAUAUGUGUAAAUACGAGUCAUCACCGACGAGAUGAUAAAAUUAUUUGAGUCUGUUCUAAGUUGUUAUUAAAUUCGACAAAAUCAAUUACGAAAAUUGUCAGAUGUUGAUAGGAAAAGUACGUGAGUACACAUCUCAAGUCACAGUUUCACCUCUUGACCGAAGAUAAGUAUGCUCUUUAUAAAAAGUGAUUAUAUCAGCUAUGGAACAUUCAUUUAUGCGAUUAACUCAACUCUCGUGUCCCCUAUCUGACCUCACGUGUUCUACCACAAUUUGUUAUUCGAAUAACCAUACUAGAUUGUGUGUAUUAUGUUUCUUAUCAAUUCAUUCCACUUCUCAUGUUUAAUGUGCAAUAUCAUUUCUCCGCAUAAAUAACGCGAUAUUUUUACAUGCUAUCCAACUCG